UACGUAGGGUGCAAGCGUUGUCCGGAAUUAUUGGGCGUAAAGAGCUCGUAGGCGGUCUGUCACGUCGGCUGUGAAAACCCGAGGCUCAACCUCGGGCCUGCAGUCGAUACGGGCAAGCUAGAGUACUGCAGGGGAGACUGGAAUUCCUGGUGUAGCGGUGAAAUGCGCAGAUAUCAGGAGGAACACCGGUGGCGAAGGCGGGUCUCUGGUCAGUAACUGACGCUGAGGAGCGAAAGCAUGGGGAGCGAACAGG
This 253-nucleotide ribosomal RNA is filed under the name uncultured bacterium. Its description in RNAcentral is "partial 16S ribosomal RNA". It matches the Rfam family "Bacterial small subunit ribosomal RNA", at positions 524 to 776 of the family's 1533-position model. The record is from RNAcentral.